UAGUCCAAUAAGUCAUUCUUAUUUACUGUGGCCUCAAGGAAUGUGACCCUUGGUCU
This is a non-coding RNA of Myotis lucifugus (little brown bat), 56 nucleotides long. The record is from Rfam. NCBI's taxonomy places the organism in Eukaryota, Metazoa, Chordata, Mammalia, Chiroptera, Vespertilionidae.